CGGGAUAAUAUAUUUGAGAGGCAUCUCUUAAAUAUCAAAGGUGAGCCAGUACAGGAUGGACCCGCGUCUGAUUAGUUAGUUGGUAAGGUAACGGCUUACCAAGGCGACGAUCAGUAGCCGACCUGAGCGGGUGAUCGGCCACAUUGGAACUGAGACACGGUCCAAACUCCUACGGGAGGCAGCAGUGGGGAAUAUUGCACAAUGGGCGAAAGCCGGAUGCAGCAACGCCGCGUGAGUGAUGAAGGCCUUCGGGUCGUAA
RNAcentral lists this ribosomal RNA (259 nucleotides) under Clostridioides difficile. Its description in RNAcentral is "partial 16S ribosomal RNA". It matches the Rfam family "Bacterial small subunit ribosomal RNA", at positions 169 to 428 of the family's 1533-position model. Lineage: Bacteria; Bacillati; Bacillota; Clostridia; Peptostreptococcales; Peptostreptococcaceae. The record is from RNAcentral.